UGAGUACGAGCUGCUACGGCAGCGAAGUGGGUGAUGUCAUGCUUCCAAGAAAAGCCCUAUACCCGUUAAGGCAUGAUGGCCUGUACCCGAAACCGACACAGGUGGGGUGGUAGAGAAUACCGAGGGGCGCGAGGUAACUCUCUCUAAGGAACUCGGCAAAAUGGCCCCGUAACUUCGGGAGAAGGGGUGCCACCGCAAGGUGGUCGCAGUGAAGAGGCCCAGGCGACUGUUUACCAAAAACACAGGUCUCCGCUAAGUCGCAAGACGAUGUAUGGGGGCUGACGCCUGCCCAGUGCCGGAAGGUUAAGGAAGCUGGUCAGCGUAAGCGAAGCUAGCGACUGAAGCCCCGGUGAACGGCGGCCGUAACGAUAACGGUCCUAAGGUAGCGAAAUUCCUUGUCGGGUAAGUUCCGACCCGCACGAAAGGCGUAACGAUCUGGGCGCUGUCUCGGAGAGAGGCUCGGCGAAAUAGAAUUGUCUGUGAAGAUGCGGACUACGUGCACCCGGACAGAAAGACCCUAUGAAGCUUUACUGUAGCUUGGUAUUGUGCUCGGGCUCGGAAUGCGCAGGAUAGGUGGGAGGCUAUGAACCAUUGCUUGCGGGUGAUGGUGAGCCACUGGUGAGAUACCACUCUUUCCGAGCUAGAGUUCUAACAGCCACCCGUUAUCCGGGGGCUGGACAGUAUCAGGUGGGCAGUUUGAUUGGGGCGGUCGCCUCCUAAAAGGUAACGGAGGCGCGCAAAGGUUUGCUCAGGCUGGUUGGAAAUCAGCCGACGAGUGUAAAAGCAGAAGCAAGCUUGACUGUGAGACCUACAAGUCGAACAGGGAGGAAACUCGGCUUUAGUGAUCCGACGGUUCUGCGUGGAAGGGCCGUCGCUCAACGGAUAAAAGUUACUCUAGGAUAACAGGCUGAUCUCCCCCAAGAGUUCACAUCGACGGGGAGGUUUGGCACCUCGAUGUCGGCUCAUCGCAACCUGGGGCUGAAGUCGGUCCCAAGGGUUGGGCUGUUCGCCCAUUAAAGCGGUACGCGAGCUGGGUUCAGAACGUCGUGAGACAGUUCGGUCCAUAUCCGGUGCAUGCGCAGGAAUAUUGAGAGGAUUUCUCCCUAGUACGAGAGGACCGGGAGGAACGCACCUCUGGUGUACCAGUUAUCGUGCCAACGGUAAACGCUGGGUAGCCAUGUGCGGAGAGGAUAACCGCUGAAAGCAUCUAAGUGGGAAGCCCACCUCAAGAUGAGUAUUCCCAUGGGGUAACCCAGUAAGGUCACGGGAAGAACACCCGUUGAUAGGCUCUACGUGGAAGCGCAGUAAUGUGUGAAGCGGAGGAGUACUAAUAGACCGAGGGCUUGAC
This 1348-nucleotide ribosomal RNA is filed under the name metagenome. Its description in RNAcentral is "bacterial LSU rRNA". It matches the Rfam family "Bacterial large subunit ribosomal RNA", at positions 1564 to 2925 of the family's 2925-position model. The record is from RNAcentral.